UUUUAACGAGAGUUUGAUCCUGGCUCAGGAUGAACGCUGGCGGCGUGCCUAACACAUGCAAGUCGAGCGAAGCGCUAUAGUUGGAUUCUUCGGAUGACGACUUUAGUGACUGAGCGGCGGACGGGUGAGUAACGCGUGGGCAACCUGCCUCGCACAGGGGGAUAACAGUUAGAAAUGACUGCUAAU
RNAcentral lists this ribosomal RNA (186 nucleotides) under Mordavella massiliensis. RNAcentral describes it as "partial 16S ribosomal RNA". It matches the Rfam family "Bacterial small subunit ribosomal RNA", at positions 1 to 167 of the family's 1533-position model. The record is from RNAcentral. Lineage: Bacteria; Bacillati; Bacillota; Clostridia; Eubacteriales; Clostridiaceae.